ACGGUUAUAAAUCAACAUAUUGAUUUAUAACCAUGGAAAUCCCCUGAGUGAAACAACGAAUUGCUGUGUGUAGUCUUUGCCCAUCUCCCACGAUGGGCUUUUUUUUAA
Molecule: non-coding RNA, 108 nt
Filed under: Escherichia coli
Lineage: Bacteria; Pseudomonadati; Pseudomonadota; Gammaproteobacteria; Enterobacterales; Enterobacteriaceae
Also listed under: 2 other names
Description: antisense sRNA RprA
Rfam family: RprA RNA
About the family: Translational regulation of the stationary phase sigma factor RpoS is mediated by the formation of a double-stranded RNA stem-loop structure in the upstream region of the rpoS messenger RNA, occluding the translation initiation site. Clones carrying rprA (RpoS regulator RNA A) increased the translation of RpoS.
Source: RNAcentral